RNAcentral lists this unclassified non-coding RNA (253 nucleotides) under uncultured Bacillaceae bacterium. RNAcentral describes it as "contains 16S-23S intergenic spacer region". It matches the Rfam family "Bacterial small subunit ribosomal RNA", at positions 524 to 776 of the family's 1533-position model. The record is from RNAcentral. Lineage: Bacteria; Bacillati; Bacillota; Bacilli; Caryophanales; Bacillaceae.
UACGUAGGUGGCAAGCGUUAUCCGGAAUUAUUGGGCGUAAAGCGCGCGCAGGUGGUUUCUUAAGUCUGAUGUGAAAGCCCACGGCUCAACCGUGGAGGGUCAUUGGAAACUGGGGAACUUGAGUGCAGAAGAGGAAAGUGGAAUUCCAAGUGUAGCGGUGAAAUGCGUAGAGAUUGGGAGGAACACCAGUGGCGAAGGCGACUUUCUGGUCUGUAACUGACACUGAGGCGCGAAAGCUAGGGUAGCAAACGGG